Molecule: long non-coding RNA, 317 nt
Organism: Helianthus annuus (common sunflower)
Lineage: Eukaryota; Viridiplantae; Streptophyta; Magnoliopsida; Asterales; Asteraceae
Exons: 3
Source: RefSeq, a predicted model, not a curated record
UGUGUGUGUGUCGAUCUCCAGGCGACCAAACAAGGGGAAACCCUAGUUCUUCCUUAAAUCACCAAAUUGGAAGGGAAAUCAGAGCUUAAAUUCAUGAAUAAACGCGUAUAAACUAUCACCAAGUCAUGGAGAUCACAAGUUUGACCUCGUCAAGCUAAGUGGGAGCUGGAAAGGAAUGGAUCAAACGGGUCAAGUGCGCAAGGAAAGCUCGAACGGACGCAAACUGAACGAAUAGCAAUUUGGAUAAUUGCGUCAUCAUAGAAUAUUGAAUUAAUAAUAGCAAGGUAUAAACGGGUCUAUACGUUGACUCGGGCAAG